CAAUAGCGUAUACUAAAAUUGUUGCUGUUAAAACGCCCAGAGUCGGAGCUUGGGGCCGCUGUGCGGUGUGCUCCGCGAGGAGCGACGCUGCGUGGGGUUCUUCCUUCGCGCAUGCAGCCCGCGAGGGGUGUGUGAGCGGACGUACACUUUGAAAAAACUGGAGCGUUCCAAGCAGGCGUGUUGCCGUGAACAAUCUUUCAGAGGAUGUUGGAAGAGGGCUUCGGUCCAUUCCGUUGGUCGAGAGACCGAAGCAAUGAUCAGCAGGAGUAGACGUGGGCAUUCGUAUUCGGAAGGGAGAGGUGAAAUUCCAUGAUCUUCCGAGGACGCACUACCGCGAAGGCAUCUGCCAAGUAUAUUUCCAUCGA
This 365-nucleotide ribosomal RNA is filed under the name uncultured eukaryote. RNAcentral describes it as "partial 18S ribosomal RNA". It matches the Rfam family "Eukaryotic small subunit ribosomal RNA", at positions 592 to 976 of the family's 1831-position model. The record is from RNAcentral.